GUUACUAUAGCAAAGAGGAUACACCUGUUCCCAUUCCGAACACAGAAGUUAAGCUCUUUAGCGCCGAUGGUACUUGGUGGGAAGCUGCCUGGGAGAGUAGGACGUA
Molecule: ribosomal RNA, 106 nt
Filed under: Paraclostridium sordellii
Lineage: Bacteria; Bacillati; Bacillota; Clostridia; Peptostreptococcales; Peptostreptococcaceae
Source: RNAcentral